GACGAACGCUGGCGGCGUGCUUAACACAUGCAAGUCGAACGGAAAGGCCCUGCUUUUGUGGGGUGCUCGAGUGGCGAACGGGUGGGUAACACGUGAGUAACCUGCCCUUGACUUUGGGAUAACUUCAGGAAACUGGGGCUAAUACCGGAUAGGAGCUCCUGCUGCAUGGUGGGGGUUGGAAAGUUUCGGCGGUUGGGGAUGGACUCGCGGCUUAUCAGCUUGUUGGUGGGGUAGUGGCUUACCAAGGCUUUGACGGGUAGCCGGCCUGAGAGGGUGACCGGCCACAUUGGGACUGAGAUACGGCCCAGACUCCUACGGGAGGCAGCAGUGGGGAAUAUUGCACAAUGGGCGGAAGCCUGAUGCAGACACGCCGCGUGCGGGAUGACGGCCUUCGGGUUGUAAACCGCUUUCGCCUGUGACGAAGCGUGAGUGACGGUAAUGGGUAAAGAAGCACCGGCUAACUACGUG
Molecule: ribosomal RNA, 468 nt
Filed under: uncultured bacterium
Lineage: Bacteria
Description: partial 16S ribosomal RNA
Rfam family: Bacterial small subunit ribosomal RNA
Source: RNAcentral